GAUGAACGCUAGCUACAGGCUUAACACAUGCAAGUCGAGGGGCAGCGGGAUUGAAGCUUGCUUCAAUUGCCGGCGACCGGCGCACGGGUGAGUAACGCGUAUCCAACCUUCCGUACACUCAGGGAUAGCCUUUCGAAAGAAAGAUUAAUACCUGAUGGUAUGAUGAGAUUGCAUGAUAUCAUCAUUAAAGAUUUAUCGGUGUACGAUGGGGAUGCGCUCCAUUAGGUAGUAGGCGGGGUAACGGCCCACCUAGCCAACGAUGGAUAGGGGUUCUGAGAGGAAGGUCCCCCACAUUGGAACUGAGACACGGUCCAAACUCCUACGGGAGGCAGCAGUGAGGAAUAUUGGUCAAUGGACGAGAGUCUGAACCAGCCAAGUAGCGUGAAGGAUGAAGGUCCUACGGAUUGUAAACUUCUUUUAGAAGGGAAUAAACCCUCCCACGUGUGGGAGCUUGUAUGUACCUUAUGAAUAAGCAUCGGCUAACUCCGUG
This 490-nucleotide ribosomal RNA is filed under the name uncultured bacterium. Its description in RNAcentral is "partial 16S ribosomal RNA". It matches the Rfam family "Bacterial small subunit ribosomal RNA", at positions 28 to 507 of the family's 1533-position model. The record is from RNAcentral.